Molecule: long non-coding RNA, 983 nt
Organism: Miniopterus natalensis
Lineage: Eukaryota; Metazoa; Chordata; Mammalia; Chiroptera; Miniopteridae
Source: RefSeq, a predicted model, not a curated record
CGUCCCCGCGCGGCCCCAGCGCUAACUGCGGGGUGACGAGAGCUUGGGAGGCCGCGUCGCGGUGUGGUGCUAGGCGCUGCAUUCGAGCCUCUGUUUUCUCCUGUGAAACAGGAAUAACGAAAUAACACGCGUGUGAAGAACCUGAGAGACCCUGUGCAGAGAUGACGUUGAAGAAAAGCAGGGACGCCGUUAUCACCGAGAACUGAGGCCCAGACGCAUGAACCUGCUGAAUCCAUCCCAGCUGAGGGACCGGUCAUUGAGGGAAGAGGCCAGCUAAGUUGUUCCAGCCAGCUUGGCUGUUCCUCACAGCCUAGAACAGAAGCAAGCUUUUCCUCCUGUGCCUUAUCCAACAUCCUGAGAAAUGAAAAAGUGGCUGCUGUUUUAAGCCUGUCAGGAUUUCAGGAGUGACUUAACUGAGUGGUUCUGGCUCCGGCUCUGUCAUGAGGCUGUAGUCAUCUCAAGCCUUACUUAACUGGGGCUAAAGGAUCUCUUCCAAGGUACCUGUCACCUAUGGCUGAUAAGAUGUUGGCAGAAGGCAUCUGUUUCUUGCCACGUGGACCUUUCCAUAGAGCUGCUGGAGUGUCCUCAGGGCAUGGUGGCUUCCGCGCCCCCCCCCCCAAGAUGAUCCAGAAAAGAAUGAGGUAGGAAUUUCAAUGACUGUUGGGAUCUAGUGUCGGGAUACCCACAAGAUUACUUCCACCACCUUGUAUACAUUAGAAACACGUCACUGCACCCCACCGUCAAGGGGAGGGAAAUUAGGCUCUACCUUCUGAAGACAGGAAUGUUAGUGAAGUUUUAAAAAAAUCAGCAUAGAACUUGUGGGCAACCUUGUUUCAACUAUGCCUCCAUCUACUCUUCCUUACCAACUGGAUUAUUUUGAAGGAAAUUGCAAACAUCAUGUUAUUUCAUGUAUAAGUACUUCAGUGUGACUUUCUAAAAGAUAUGGUCUGAAGAAAUGUCAUAACCACUAUACCAUUAUCACA